This 425-nucleotide ribosomal RNA is filed under the name Jaminaea angkorensis. RNAcentral describes it as "LSU rRNA". It matches the Rfam family "Eukaryotic large subunit ribosomal RNA", at positions 232 to 648 of the family's 3401-position model. Lineage: Eukaryota; Fungi; Basidiomycota; Exobasidiomycetes; Microstromatales. The record is from RNAcentral.
CCGCCCACUGCUUUGUGAUACACUUUCCAUGAGUCGAGUUGUUUGGGAAUGCAGCUCAAAAUGGGUGGUAAAUUCCAUCUAAAGCUAAAUAUUGGGGAGAGACCGAUAGCGAACAAGUACCGUGAGGGAAAGAUGAAAAGCACUUUGGAAAGAGAGUUAAAUAGUACGUGAAAUUGUCGAAAGGGAAGCGCUUGAAGUUAGACAUGCUAGUUGGAAUUCAGCCUUGCUUUUGCUUGGUGCAUUUUCCGGUUAGCAGGCCAGCAUCAGUUUUGCCUGUCGGAUAAGGGUAGGAGGAAUGUGGCCCCUCGGGGUGUUAUAGCCUCUUACUGGAUACGACGGGUGGGACUGAGGACAGCAGUGCGCCUUUAUGGCGGGCCUUCGGGCACCUUCGCACUUAGGAUGCUGGCGUAAUGGCUUUAAGCGAC